GUGGGGAAUAUUGGACAAUGGGCGAAAGCCUGAUCCAGCCAUGCCGCGUGUGUGAAGAAGGUCUUCGGAUUGUAAAGCACUUUAAGUUGGGAGGAAGGGCAGUAAGUUAAUACCUUGCUGUUUUGACGUUACCGACAGAAUAAGCACCGGCUAACUUCGUGCCAGCAGCCGCGGUAAUACGAAGGGUGCAAGCGUUAAUCGGAAUUACUGGGCGUAAAGCGCGCGUAGGUGGUUUUGUAAGUUGGAGGUGAAAUCCCCGGGCUCAACCUGGGAACUGCCUCCAAAACUGCAUGACUAGAGGACGGUAGAGGGUAGUGGAAUUUCCUGGGUAGCGGUGAAAUGCGUAGAUAUAGGAAGGAACACCAGUGGCGAAGGCGACUACCUGGACUGAUACUGACACUGAGGUGCGAAAGCGUGGGGAGCAAACAGGAUUAGAAACCCCGGUAGUCC
This 450-nucleotide ribosomal RNA is filed under the name uncultured bacterium. RNAcentral's name for it is "bacterial SSU rRNA". It matches the Rfam family "Bacterial small subunit ribosomal RNA", at positions 354 to 796 of the family's 1533-position model. The record is from RNAcentral.